AGAAGUGCGAAGGGAGAAUCCGGCGGUUCGCCGUCGGUGCCGAAGGAGCAACCGCCCCGGUAAACUCUCAGGCCAAAGGACCUUCGCGCGACA
This 93-nucleotide non-coding RNA is filed under the name Palleronia abyssalis. RNAcentral's name for it is "Glycine riboswitch aptamer". It matches the Rfam family "Glycine riboswitch aptamer". From Rfam's summary of the family: This family represents the bacterial glycine riboswitch. Glycine riboswitches usually consist of two metabolite-binding aptamers domains with similar structures in tandem. The record is from Rfam by way of RNAcentral. Lineage: Bacteria; Pseudomonadati; Pseudomonadota; Alphaproteobacteria; Rhodobacterales; Roseobacteraceae.